UUGUUUAAUGGAGAAAGAUUAGAGAGCUUCUCACCUUCCAGGGGUAUCAGGCAGGGAGAUCCUAUUUCCCCUUACUUAUUCUUGAUUGCAGCGGAGGGCCUUUCGUGCCUUUUAAAACACAGUUCUCAGUCAUUAGUGCUCGGUGGCAUAAAGGUGGCGCCCACGGCUCCGGUAGUGAACCACCUUUUGUUUGCAGAUGACAGCCUGCUGCUUUUCAAGUCUAGUGUCCAGGGGGCAAAUGAGGUUUCAAACCUACUUGAUGCAUAUUGCUUGGCUUCGGGCCAAAGGGUAAACUAUGAUAAAUCGUCCAUAUUUUUCAGUAAGGGAUGCCCGGAGACCCUCAGGGUGGAGAUAAAGAAUAUACUUAAUGUGCAGAAUGAGUCUUUGAGUCAAAAGUAUUUG
This 402-nucleotide ribosomal RNA is filed under the name Triticum aestivum (bread wheat). Its description in RNAcentral is "partial small subunit ribosomal RNA". Lineage: Eukaryota; Viridiplantae; Streptophyta; Magnoliopsida; Poales; Poaceae. The record is from RNAcentral.